This is a long non-coding RNA of Seriola dumerili (greater amberjack), 510 nucleotides long. RefSeq lists it as uncharacterized. The record is from RefSeq and is a predicted model, not a curated record. The transcript is spliced from 6 exons. Lineage: Eukaryota; Metazoa; Chordata; Actinopteri; Carangiformes; Carangidae.
UUCUAUCUCUUCCCUUUCCUGUUCUUCAUGAGGUGUAGAAGUCGGCAUUUGAUGUCGGUUCAACCACUAAUAGCUCUGUCCAGCCUCUCCAACCAUGGAUGUCUGCAGACGAUGCAGGUUUUGGGUUUUGCUGAUGGUGAAAGGACAAAAUGGAAACCACUUGCAUGCAGGUGAUCCUCAUGGCUGACCCAAAAGUUACUGCAUGAGGACAGCUCAUGUCAAGGUAUCUCUCUGGCCCAUGAUGUAAAGUCUGGUAUCCUCAGGCUGUGCGGGCUCUCAAACCUUCCUGGUUUCUGAAAGGUUCAGUGGCAUGUUGGUGACGAGCGCUGGGAAUCCUAACCUGUCUGGGUGAACUGCUGCAGGCCAUCCAGAAGACGGGGUGACACCGAGUUAGAAGUGUUCACUCAGAUUGACCUAACUGUAAAGUGUGGUGCUAAUGAGUGGAAAAUCCUUGACCUAAGUUUUAAAACUUGCAUCAUUGAAUGUAAUAAAAUGACUUGUCAACCAUUA